This 492-nucleotide ribosomal RNA is filed under the name uncultured bacterium. RNAcentral describes it as "partial 16S ribosomal RNA". It matches the Rfam family "Bacterial small subunit ribosomal RNA", at positions 28 to 507 of the family's 1533-position model. The record is from RNAcentral.
GAUGAGCGCUAGCUACAGGCUUAACACAUGCAAGUCGAGGGGAAACGGCAUUGAGUGCUUGCACUCUUUGGACGUCGACCGGCGCACGGGUGAGUAACGCGUAUCCAACCUUCCCAUUACUGUGGGAUGACCUGCCGACAGGCAGACUAAUACCGCAUAGUCUUCGAUGACGGCAUCAGAUUUGAAGUAAAGAUUUAUCGGUACUGGCUGGGGAUGCGUCUGAUUAGCUUGUUGGCGGGGUAACGGCCCACCAAGGCUACGAUCAGUAGGGGUUCUGAGAGGAAGGGCCCCCACAUUGGAACUGAGACACGGUCCAAACUCCUACGGGAGGCAGCAGUGAGGAAUAUUGGUCAAUGGACGGAAGUCUGAACCAGCCAAGUAGCGUGCAGGAUGACGGCCCGAUGGGUUGUAAACUGCUUUUGUAUGGGGAUAAAGUUAGGGACGUGUCCCUAUUUGCAGGUACCAUACGAAUAAGGACCGGCUAAUUCCGUG